Molecule: ribosomal RNA, 465 nt
Filed under: uncultured bacterium
Lineage: Bacteria
Description: partial 16S ribosomal RNA
Rfam family: Bacterial small subunit ribosomal RNA
Source: RNAcentral
CCUACGUGAGGUAGCAGUGGGGAAUAUUGCGCAAUGGGCGAAAGCCUGACGCAGCGACGCCGCGUGAGGGAUGAAGGUCUUCGGAUCGUAAACCUCUGUCAGCAGGGAAGAACGGUCACUGUGCUAAUCAGCAGUGAAUUGACGGUACCUGCAAAGGAAGCACCGGCUAACUCCGUGCCAGCAGCCGCGGUAAUACGGAGGGUGCGAGCGUUAAUCGGAAUUACUGGGCGUAAAGCGCUCGUAGGCGGUAUGUCAAGUCAAGGGUGAAAUCCCCGCGCUAAACGUGGGAACUGCCUUUGAAACUGGAAAACUGGAGGGUGUGAGAGGAUAGUGGAAUUCCAGGUGUAGGAGUGAAAUCCGUAGAUAUCUGGAGGAACAUCAGUGGCGAAGGCGACUAUCUGGCACAUAACUGACGCUGAGGAGCGAAAGCGUGGGUAGCAAACAGGAUUAGAUACCCGAGUAGUC